GGCAUGCCAAGCCAUCCAAGUGUAUAUCUGACAUGAAAAUUAAAAGCUCCUCAUAAAAAGCAUCGGAGGCGGCUUAGUAUAAACUGUAGGUCCCUCCAUUUGUUGAAACACUUCAAGACCGAAAAAGCCACAAAUUAGAGGAGGAGCUCGGCCUAAAUCAUUUCAGCGGUUACAAAGCGACAAUUAUAUAUACAUACAUAUGUAAUGGAGAAAAAAGGUUUUUGGUUAAUGCUAAAUAAAUAAAUAAAUUUACGUUCAAAUGUAGUCGAUAAGAGUUUGAGCUUCAAAUGGGCAUCAAAUAAAUUUGCAUAGUUUGUGUAUUUCUUUUACGAAAACCUGUGUAUACUCAUUCUUCUAUAUGAUGAAGGUAAGAGGGUGCGCCAUUAUGUUUCAAUAAUGAUUACGGAUAAGUGAAAACCUCGGCUGGCUGGAGUAAAUUCCAUCAUUUCAAAUUUCAAGACAUCAAAAGUCUCGGAUUUAACUACGUUGACAAGUGACUUCACAUUACCACAAAAAGAAACUAUUGCAGUGUUGUUAAGUCGGCCCUGGAAGCCACGUCACAGGCAAAU
Molecule: long non-coding RNA, 569 nt
Organism: Ceratitis capitata (Mediterranean fruit fly)
Lineage: Eukaryota; Metazoa; Arthropoda; Insecta; Diptera; Tephritidae
Exons: 3
Source: RefSeq, a predicted model, not a curated record